UACGUAGGCAGCAGGCGUUGUUCGGAAUUACUGGGCGUAAAGAGUGUGUAGGUGGCGCCGUAAGUCGGGUGUGAAAUUUCGGAGCUUAACUCCGAAACUGCAUUCGAUACUGCGGUGCUUGAGGACUGGAGAGGAGACUGGAAUUCAUGGUGUAGCAGUGAAAUGCGUAGAGAUCAUGAGGAAGACCAGUGGCGAAGGCGGGUCUUUGGACAGUUCCUGACACUGAGACACGAAGGCCAGGGGAGCAAACGGG
RNAcentral lists this ribosomal RNA (253 nucleotides) under uncultured bacterium. RNAcentral's name for it is "partial 16S ribosomal RNA". It matches the Rfam family "Bacterial small subunit ribosomal RNA", at positions 524 to 776 of the family's 1533-position model. The record is from RNAcentral.